This 497-nucleotide ribosomal RNA is filed under the name uncultured bacterium. RNAcentral's name for it is "partial 16S ribosomal RNA". It matches the Rfam family "Bacterial small subunit ribosomal RNA", at positions 28 to 507 of the family's 1533-position model. The record is from RNAcentral.
GAUGAACGCUGGCGGCGUGCCUAAUACAUGCAAGUCGAGCGAACAGACGAGGAGCUUGCUUCUUUGACGUUAGCGGCGGACGGGUGAGUAACACGUGGGUAACCUACCUAUAAGACUGGGAUAACUUCGGGAAGCCGGAGCUAAUACCGGAUAAUAUUUCGAACCGCAUGGUUCGAUAGUGAAAGAUGGCUUUGCUAUCACUUAUAGAUGGACCUGCGCUGUAUUAGCUAGUUGGUAAGGUAACGGCUUACCAAGGCAACGAUACGUAGCCGACCUGAGAGGGUGAUCGGCCACACUGGAACUGAGACACGGUCCAGACUCCUACGGGAGGCAGCAGUAGGGAAUCUUCCGCAAUGGGCGAAAGCCUGACGGAGCAACGCCGCGUGAGUGAUGAAGGUCUUCGGAUCGUAAAACUCUGUUAUUAGGGAAGAACAAACGUGUAAGUAACUGUGCACGUCUUGACGGUACCUAAUCAGAAAGCCACGGCUAACUACGUG